CUACCGGUUCUCGUUAGAUCACCGAAGUCAAGCAUCAUUGGGCGCGGUCAGUACUUGGGUGGGUGACCACCUGGGAACACCGCGUGCCGU
Molecule: non-coding RNA, 90 nt
Organism: Caerostris darwini
Lineage: Eukaryota; Metazoa; Arthropoda; Arachnida; Araneae; Araneidae
Source: the annotation of a GenBank genome assembly